Molecule: ribosomal RNA, 301 nt
Filed under: uncultured bacterium
Lineage: Bacteria
Description: partial 16S ribosomal RNA
Rfam family: Bacterial small subunit ribosomal RNA
Source: RNAcentral
CAGCCGCCACGGUAAUACGUAGGUCCCGAGCGUUGUCCGGAUUUAUUGGGCGUAAAGCGAGCGCAGGCGGUUAGAUAAGUCUGAAGUUAAAGGCUGUGGCUUAACCAUAGUACGCUUUGGAAACUGUUUAACUUAAGUGCAAGAGGGGAGAGUGGAAUUCCAUGUGUAGCGGUGAAAUGCGUAGAUAUAUGGAGGAACACCGGUGGCGAAAGCGGCUCUCUGGCUUGUAACUGACGCUGAGGCUCGAAAGCGUGGGGAGCAAACAGGAUUAGAUACCCCAGUAGUCCCUGUCUCUUAUACA